ACGGAAGGCAGCAGCUAAGAAUAUUCCGCAAUGGACGAAAGUCUGACGGAGCGACGCCGCGUGGAUGAUGAAGGUCGGAAGAUUGUAAAAUCCUUUUAUAACUGAGGAAUAAGCAGGGUGAGAGAAACGCCAUAUGGUGACUGUAGGUUAUGAAUAAGCAACGGCUAAUUACGUGCCAGCAGCCGCGGUAACACGUAAGUUGCGAGCGUUGUUCGGAAUUAUUGGGCGUAAAGGGCAUGUAGGCGGUUUUGCAAGCUUGGAGUGAAAGGUAGGAGCUUAACUCCUGGACUGCGUUGAGAACUGCAAGACUAGAGUCACUGAGGGGCAAUCAGAAUUCCUGGUGUAGGGGUGAAAUCUGUAGAUAUCAGGAAGAAUACCAAUGGCGAAGGCAGGUUACCAGCAGAUGACUGACGCUGAGGUGCGAAGGUGCGGGGAGCAAACAGGAUUAGAUACCCUGGUA
Molecule: ribosomal RNA, 460 nt
Filed under: uncultured Treponema sp.
Lineage: Bacteria; Pseudomonadati; Spirochaetota; Spirochaetia; Treponematales; Treponemataceae
Description: partial 16S ribosomal RNA
Rfam family: Bacterial small subunit ribosomal RNA
Source: RNAcentral